Molecule: ribosomal RNA, 577 nt
Filed under: uncultured Mycobacterium sp.
Lineage: Bacteria; Bacillati; Actinomycetota; Actinomycetes; Mycobacteriales; Mycobacteriaceae
Description: bacterial SSU rRNA
Rfam family: Bacterial small subunit ribosomal RNA
Source: RNAcentral
AGGUGUGGGUUUCCUUUCCUUGGGAUCCGUGCCGUAGCUAACGCAUUAAGUACCCCGCCUGGGGAGUACGGCCGCAAGGCUAAAACUCAAAGAAAUUGACGGGGGCCCGCACAAGCGGCGGAGCAUGUGGAUUAAUUCGAUGCAACGCGAAGAACCUUACCUGGGUUUGACAUGCACAGGACGCCGGCAGAGAUGUCGGUUCCCUUGUGGCCUGUGUGCAGGUGGUGCAUGGCUGUCGUCAGCUCGUGUCGUGAGAUGUUGGGUUAAGUCCCGCAACGAGCGCAACCCUUGUCUCAUGUUGCCAGCGGGUAAUGCCGGGGACUCGUGAGAGACUGCCGGGGUCAACUCGGAGGAAGGUGGGGAUGACGUCAAGUCAUCAUGCCCCUUAUGUCCAGGGCUUCACACAUGCUACAAUGGCCGGUACAAAGGGCUGCGAUGCCGCGAGGUUAAGCGAAUCCUUUUAAAGCCGGUCUCAGUUCGGAUCGGGGUCUGCAACUCGACCCCGUGAAGUCGGAGUCGCUAGUAAUCGCAGAUCAGCAACGCUGCGGUGAUACGUUCCCGGGCUUUGUACACACCG